CCAAGCCGUGGAGGUCGCCCUGAAAGGGGUGGAUCUCUCACCUGGCCACCCUUGUUUACUUACACCAGUUGCUUUGGUGGGCCCGCUGUGAGGCCGCCCGGGGAACUUUUCGAGUUUUUUGGGCCCGUGUCUGCCAAGGUUUUAACUAAAUCUUAAAGGUCUUAUAUGCUGUCUGAGUGGGAAAAAUACAAUUUGAAAA
RNAcentral lists this unclassified non-coding RNA (199 nucleotides) under uncultured Eurotiomycetes. RNAcentral's name for it is "sequence contains ITS1". The record is from RNAcentral. Lineage: Eukaryota; Fungi; Ascomycota; Eurotiomycetes.